Molecule: long non-coding RNA, 427 nt
Filed under: Heterocephalus glaber (naked mole-rat)
Lineage: Eukaryota; Metazoa; Chordata; Mammalia; Rodentia; Bathyergidae
Description: lncRNA (ENSHGLG00100046857.1)
Source: RNAcentral
CAUUGUUAAGAUCUUGCAUCACUUUUAAUGUGUAUAACAGCUGGUCACCAGGUAGCUAUUGCUAUAAUUUCCAUCUUACAGAUGAGGAUGGCAAGGUGCUGAGAGCUUUCGGGAAGUGCACCAUUGGUGGUGGCACCCUUGCCCUCAAAGCCCAUCCCCAGGUGGAGCCUGCACCACGAGGAGGUCUCAAUGGAUGAUUAAAGCAGCAGUAGAUGAUCACUCGAGCGCAGCCACCAUAGCCAGAGGACAAGUUGCAAUGCACACACAAGAGGUAACACACACACACACAGGUGCACCUGCAUGCACACAUACACACGAACUCACACAUGUGUGCAUGCACAUAUACGGCAGCCAGGAAGCCUGGCUCAGUUACUUGAGUGAGUAAUGUCACCUCCCUGUGGUUUGGCAAUCCCUUCAUCAGUGUGAC